UCCCAGUUAGCUUAGUUGGUAGUGCGUCUGCCUUGUAAGCGCUAGGCCGCGGGUUCGAUUCCCGCCCGGGGUG
Molecule: transfer RNA, 73 nt
Filed under: Diaphorina citri (Asian citrus psyllid)
Lineage: Eukaryota; Metazoa; Arthropoda; Insecta; Hemiptera; Psyllidae
Rfam family: tRNA
About the family: Transfer RNA (tRNA) molecules are approximately 80 nucleotides in length. Their secondary structure includes four short double-helical elements and three loops (D, anti-codon, and T loops).
Source: Rfam by way of RNAcentral